UCAGACAUGGUGUACGGAACAUUGCCUUCUAAAUUGAACUCUGUGGAAACGGCAUUGAUGAGGCAGUCCGGGGUUCGACUCCCUGUGUCUGAA
Non-coding RNA from Mycena latifolia, 93 nucleotides. The record is from the annotation of a GenBank genome assembly. NCBI's taxonomy places the organism in Eukaryota, Fungi, Basidiomycota, Agaricomycetes, Agaricales, Mycenaceae.